GGAGGCCCCAGCGCAGGGACCUUCCGGCUCAGCCCCCCCCCCGGACCCCUGGGGCCCGAGUCCGGCCGCCAAGGGCUCUCGCGGCGGCAGGAGCCCGUAAGGGGGCAGCCCGGUCCCUGCUGUACCGUGAGGAGCUGGGAGCCCGGACUCCUGGGUUCUCUCCCGGCUCUGGGAGGGGAGCGGGGACGCGUGGGUACAAGAGGGCUCGGGCCAGCCUGUGGUGUAUGUCACUGUCACAAAGCUUACACCCAUGUCCCUUCCCAGCAUCAUGGGGAGAACAGCUGCCUCAUACGGAUGCUGUGUUCUGGCCUCAGUGCUGGCGCUGAAGGAGCAGGCGCCCAGGCUGGCUGCCCCCACCCACCGCCCUGCACACCACACGUGUUCCCUCCCUGGGUUCCUGGAGAGAUACACAGAAGCAAGCUCCGUGAAUCUAAACAGAGGGACGCCACCCUCCCUGUUUCCAGUCCUGGAAACACAAGCACCGAGAUAGCUAAUCUCUCUUCCACCCCCUCCUUCACCCAGAGGGAAUGCAAAGUCAGGCUCGUAAAUCUAACACAGAGAUUUUUCCCCCUGACUUCUUCCUCCCACCAAUUCCCUGGAGCCCCCACUAAAGAAAACUCCAACAGGUCUUAAAAAGAAAGCUUUAUAUAAAAAGAAAGAAAAAAUACAUAAAAAUGGUCUCUCUGUAUUAAGGUGACAAAUACAGGGUCAAUUGCUUAAAAGAAAUAUGAAUAAACAGCCUUAUCCACAAAGAAUACAAUUUAACACAUUCCAGCAACUAUACACAUGUAAAUACAAAAGAAAACAAUAUAAACCUAUGGUCUUCCUAUCUUUGUACUUACAACUUGGAAACAGAAGAUUAGAAAGCUGGAGAUAGAAAAAUCACUCUCAUAGCCGAGAGGGUCAGACACAAGACAAAGAACAAAAAGCUCACACACAAACUUCCCUCCACCCAGAUUUGAAAAAGUCUUGUUUCCUGAUUGGUCCUCUGGUUAGAUGUUUCAGGCUACUGGUGUUACCCCUUUACAGGUAAAAUAACAUUAACCCUUAGCUAUCUGUUUAUGACAGUGGGUUAGAGUCUCCCCUCCUCAUCCUUUCUCCACUGGACCUUUCCUCUAUC
Gopherus flavomarginatus (Mexican gopher tortoise) is the source of this 1120-nucleotide long non-coding RNA. RefSeq lists it as uncharacterized. NCBI's taxonomy places the organism in Eukaryota, Metazoa, Chordata, Testudines, Testudinidae. The transcript is spliced from 3 exons. The record is from RefSeq and is a predicted model, not a curated record.